CUCCCACUACAACAACUGCUCCAACAACAGUAGCGCCUCCCACUACCUCUACUGUUCAGACUACAACAGCUCCUCCAACUACAACUCCUCCUCCAACAACAACAGCAUCUCCCACUACAACAACUGAUCCAACAACAACAACAAGUGAACAAAAUACUGCUGCAACAUUUGAACGGAACCAUUAAGAUUACAGUAAAAUCCAUCAGGAAAAAAUGCAACCAAAAUACUACUGCAACAUGAAGAAAUAACAGCCCCACUGACUACAAAAACCACUCCCACUGCAACAACCCCUCCUGCUACAACAUCUGCUCCUACUACAGCAACCACUGCAACUACAACAGAUCCUCUCAUAACAACAACCACUCCAACCAACAACAACAAGCCCUGGAACAACAGCAACCGUCACUCCAAACACUACAACAGCUGCUCAUACUGAAACCUCUCCAAUGAAAUGGCCGCUCCUUCAAUAACAACCACCGUUGCUGUGUUGUCGUAGGUUUUUUUUUUUCAGAUCAACUUUCAAGAUUAUAAUCACUCAUAACUCUGUUACCUUUAAUUUUGGGGUGAACUUUGUAUACAUGUAUAUCUAUA
Molecule: long non-coding RNA, 591 nt
Organism: Anguilla anguilla (European eel)
Lineage: Eukaryota; Metazoa; Chordata; Actinopteri; Anguilliformes; Anguillidae
Exons: 4
Source: RefSeq, a predicted model, not a curated record